CUGAAUAGGCGGUAAGGAAGGGGAGACAAUGGGUGUGAGCUAUGCAUUUGAUAAACACACAUGGAGGGAAAGAGAGACAGACAAUGACUGGAGAGAAAUGUGGGGAGUAAAGAAAGACUUUUGAUGAAAGGAAAGAGAUCUAAAAGGAACAACGGUUUUGAGUAAGGAGGAAGAAAUGGAGUGGAGCAAGACACAGCAGAUGGCUUGGCCUGUGGUGGGAGAAGGCUUCAUGCUUCACCUAAACAGAAGGAAAGGAGGCGGAGAUGGAGUUGCAAGCACCGUUGCAGUUUUGAAAGAAAAAUGAUGCUCUAUCAUGGACAAUGGACAACAGACUAACGGUGGCUUCGUGGCAGUGUCAGAGGAGGCUCUUGGGCAGGGUGUGGCAGUUAAAAGCUUGCUGAAUAAAAAGGAGACAUGACCCUGUGGAACUAGGAAAUCGAAGACCCUAUUUUCAAAGAAGGUCACAUUCUGAGGUACUACGUUGGGGAUAGGACUUCAACAUGUGAAUUUUGUGAGGACACAAUUCAAUACAGAACGACAUGCUAAUCAUUUUCCCUCCCUGGAAACUUCCAUAGCACAACUUCGCACUUUGGAGCCAUCACAGAGUUCCCGUCUUCUGCCUUUGUAUGCAGUGAGACAAUCCCUCCAUGGA
Molecule: long non-coding RNA, 652 nt
Organism: Callithrix jacchus (white-tufted-ear marmoset)
Lineage: Eukaryota; Metazoa; Chordata; Mammalia; Primates; Cebidae
Source: RefSeq, a predicted model, not a curated record